RNAcentral lists this unclassified non-coding RNA (313 nucleotides) under Hevea brasiliensis (rubber tree). Lineage: Eukaryota; Viridiplantae; Streptophyta; Magnoliopsida; Malpighiales; Euphorbiaceae. The record is from RNAcentral.
CUUACUUUUGCUAGCACAUUAGCCAGAUAGUCCUUGGUUUUAUGUUUUCCACCCUUGCAUACGAGAAUCUAAGUUAAUUAAACACCAUUUUCUUGGCUUUUGUUGAUUUCUAAGCAACCAAACAGAAAGUGAUCUCUUUGGGUCACUGGUUGUCUAAUAAAUUGAGAAUCACAUGCUCUGUAUUAUGACUUACCCUAUUUGCCAAAUACUUUCCGCCUCUGUGGUGGGCAUGCAUUGCCAUUUCUUUGCCUUAUUUGAUAAUUUUUGCUUUCUGUGAUUUCUUGUGCUGUCUAUUGACUUUAUUCUAUAAAAG